UUUUGACCUCGGAUCAGGUAGGGAUACCCGCUGAACUUAAGCAUAUCAAUAAGCGGAGGAA
This 61-nucleotide ribosomal RNA is filed under the name Alternaria alternata. Its description in RNAcentral is "partial 28S ribosomal RNA". It matches the Rfam family "Eukaryotic large subunit ribosomal RNA", at positions 1 to 58 of the family's 3401-position model. RNAcentral also lists the same sequence under 11 other names. The record is from RNAcentral. Lineage: Eukaryota; Fungi; Ascomycota; Dothideomycetes; Pleosporales; Pleosporaceae.